This 141-nucleotide transfer RNA is filed under the name Candidatus Heimdallarchaeota archaeon. Its description in RNAcentral is "tRNA-Leu". It matches the Rfam family "tRNA". Rfam says of the family: Transfer RNA (tRNA) molecules are approximately 80 nucleotides in length. Their secondary structure includes four short double-helical elements and three loops (D, anti-codon, and T loops). Further hydrogen bonds mediate the characteristic L-shaped molecular structure. tRNAs have two regions of fundamental functional importance: the anti-codon, which is responsible for specific mRNA codon recognition, and the 3' end, to which the tRNAs corresponding amino acid is attached (by aminoacyl-tRNA synthetases). tRNAs cope with the degeneracy of the genetic code in two manners: having more than one tRNA (with a specific anti-codon) for a particular amino acid; and 'wobble' base-pairing, i.e. permitting non-standard base-pairing at the 3rd anti-codon position. Lineage: Archaea; Promethearchaeati; Candidatus Heimdallarchaeota. The record is from RNAcentral.
GCGGGGGUAGCCAAGCCAGGUCAAAGGUGGCAUUUAUUGGGCUAGAUGAUAGCUUAGCAUAUCAUAAUAGCGCCGUCCAAAGGCGCUGGACUUAAGAUCCAGUCAUAUAGAUGUACGUGGGUUCAAAUCCCAUCCCCCGCA